CCCUGCCCCACUGGCCAGGGCGCCUCACAAUGGCCCCUGCGUUCUGCACAGAUGUUCCUGAGGCUAGGGUUCCACUCCUCCUCCCCCCACUCCGCCUGCUCAUUACCUAGUUUUCAAAAGGAAACUUCUAGAACUUCUUAAGAGCCUCUGAGCUCCAUUACUUUGAAAUCUAAGGUUCCCGCUGUCUGUCUUCCAAAGGACACUUUUUCCCCUAUCCUUAAAAAAGGCACAUACUUGUUGUUGAAGAAAAUUAAAACCACCACCUCUUCAAUUUUUCCUAAGCCCCUUCUUCCUGUCUCCUGGAGAACCUGAGUCUCUUUUACUGAACCUUUAGGGGACAGCCUGAGAAAUUCUCUUAUUGAGCCCACACAAACUGGAUUCCCUCGAGCUCACUUCAUUUUUUCCAGAAAUGAUACAGAGAUAGCGGUGAGCACCCUUCAAGCACCAUCAGGACGAAACUGAAACGUGGAUGGAUGAUGCCGGUCGCCAGUCCUCCCAGUUCCGUGUCACCCCAGCCCACGGGAGCCCACAGUCCAGCCAGGGUGUGGCCAGAGCUCAGGCUGACUCACAGCCCCGCCGCCCUCCGCUGACUCCUGAUGCCCAGCUGUGUCCCCAGGCUGCUGAGGGCAGGAUCCGGGCUGGGGAUCCCACCCUUCCCUGGACCCAGAUCCUAGGGACAGAGCAGGUGUCUGUCUCAGCUUGGGGAGUAGUAGGAGCCCACUGGGAGCAAGGAGGGCUCUCUGCUCCUGGGUUACUCGGGGAACCAGGAAUUCCCACUAUCCCUGGGGUAUCCAGAGCAGGAAACGGGUGAUGAGGGGCCGUGGAGCCAGGUCACAUAGGGCCAGGCUGGAGGGUCUCUGGGGAGCAAGGGUGCUAGGGAAGGGCUUCCAGGGGCUGCUUCGUGGGCCCCAGGGAGCAUCCAGGACUGUAAGAGGGAGAAGUUGACAGCAUGAAGGUUCCCCGGAGCCCUGACAGCAUCUCCCUGCCCAUGCAGUGCUCAACCAGUCCCACGUCCCCAGAGAGGACAGGUCAGCUGCUCCCCCAAGAGCACUCAGCCACCACGUCCCUCUCCCACAGCACCAGCAGGAAGGACCCGUGGACAGUCUCUCUGCUCUGCUUCUCUGGGGCUGGACUGCGUGACUGCCGACCUCCAUGGGAGCUGCAGGCCUGUGAGAAGGAAACGUACACUGUCCCCUCCCACGUGGCAGGAGGGCCCACCCCAUGGCCUGUCACUCAAGACCACAUGAGGCACCUUUGUGCCCGCCCUCCUUAGAAGCUGCCCCAUGUGCCCGGGGUCCCAUUCCACGCAUGUCAGGGCAGCACCCAAAGGUGGCCUCUUCUAGAAGGGUCCCAACUCCACUCCAUCAGGGAAAGCCCGGACGCUGCCCCUCCAAGAGGCAGACCCAGACCUGGGUCUAAGGGGAGCAACCCUUAGAGCCAUCUGGUUCAAUCUUUCCCCCAUUUUUCAGAGGGGAAGCUGAGGCCCAAAAAGGAGAGUGGUUUCUUAGGGAGCAACUGCAAUCUGGGGACAGGAGGUCUCUUUUUCUCUCCUCCUCUCCCUGCUCUGCCACUUUCCUCCCAGCUUUCUUCCUGCAGUCUGUGUCUGGGACUUGCCUAACGUGACACAGGGAACCAUACUGCAUUGUGAUCAGAAGGCCUUGGGAGUCCGGCAGACCUGGUUCAAAUCCCAGCCCCACCACCUCCUGGCUAUACCUUCCGACGGGGGUCUCUGAACCUCUCAGCACCUCAGCCUCUCCCUGGAAAUGGGGUGAAUCCAAGAGCCUGCUUGAUAGGAGUCAGGGGAGGGUUACGCGAAGGAAUGUGGAGAAAAGCAUGAGCCCGACCUGCCCUCGUGGACAGCGCGGGGGCAAGGGGAGAGACACAGAGACCAUCAGAACAGAGCCAGAACCAGGCCUCCUGACCCCUCUUCCUCAGUUACCAUGAUGAUGAAGCAAGGAUGGAAGAGCCACUAUGGGCUGGGCUCAUCUCAGGUUGUGUUUAAAGGACAAGGGAAUGUGAUUGUGAGGAUGUCUGGACUCUGAGUAUUCUGGCCAAAAAAGCAAAGCACUGUGGGCUCAAUGCUUACCAGUCAGAAGUUUCUGUAAGAUCAGCUUCCGGAGAGGCUUGAAGCAGCAUCUGGAGCUCUGUGCCGCAUGGCCAGGCUUUGGCUAGGAGUGAAUCCUUUUCUGCCCUGAGUGUGGGGACAGUCCUCCAGUAGCCACUCGGCUCUGGCGAAGCCUGACCCAAGGACAGCCAGCCCGUCCCCUGUGGCCACGUCCUGGGGGACCAGCGGGAUGAAGAACUAAAGAGGCUUUCUCAGGAAUGAUCAGUUCUGUGCAUUUCCGAGCGCUGGGAGGCGAUGCCUCCAUCUGCACCAGGCUGAUGAAGAAAUCAAGUCUCUGAGAAGUUCAGAAAUAAGUCUGUGGCCACCCAGCAAUCCCUGAAUUUCCUGAUUCUACUGGUUCCAGGAGUUUCAGGACGCGUUAUCAGAGAUGAUGAAAACUCCAUCAGCAUGGAUACGGCACCCUCAGGAUCAAAGCUGUCUAAACUUGUGGGCUGGUCUCACUAGCUUCUUGCAUCCCGGAGCUAAUGUUUUUAAGCAGAGAGCCAACUUAAAGCAAGAAAAGCAUCACAUCAAAGUCAAGGCUGAGAAGUUCACAGGAGCAGAAAGGAGGCCCGGGAGAAGGAGGCAAAAAAAGUAAGAUGAAGGGAUCCAUCUUCUUCCUCCUUCUGCUACCACCCCCUGCCUCGAUUCCCAGAAACACUAUAGCAGAGCCUGCCUAAUACCUCUCAAUAUAUGUUCAUCUUCUUUGAUAACAGAACAUGAAAUGUCAGGGGUUACUGGGCUUCAAAUAAUAAAAGACUACAUUUCCCAGCUUUCCCUAGGCAAGGUAAGGUCAUGUGACCAUGUUCUGCCAAUUGCCUAUGAGAAGAAGUCAAGGGCGUUCACACCAGCCCUGUGUGCACAUGAAACUUCCAGGUUGUACCCUUGAAGGGAAGGGCCCUCUAUGACCUGUCCUUCUGCUCCUCUUCUUGCUGAAAUGUGGACGUGGAGGUGAUGCAUAUCUGAUCAACUGAUGGGAUUAACAGUUUUGAAGGGCAAAGCAGCAAAAUUGAAAGUGCUUGGUCUCGGCAGAGUGGAGCCAUCACAGGAGCCCCUGAUAGGUUCCACCAGCAAUUUACUAAGAAAGAAUACACUUCUGUCUUAAUUAUUGAUGCACUGAGCUUUAUUAACCGGAUCAUAACAUGUUGAUCACAGCGCUGAGCAGCAUUGUACAGUGGCUGAGCUCUCCCAGGAAAAGCUAUGCCAGGGUCCCAGGUACCAGUGUCCUCUUCCUGCAACAUAAACUACCCCAAAAUAUCGUCAUUAAAACAACAAUCUUUGAUUUAAUUCACAUUGCCGAGGGUCAGCGAUUCCGGCUAGGCUCAGCAGGGCCGUCGUCUCCUUCUGUGGGUUGGCCAGGGUCUGGCCGGCUUCAAGAGAGGACAGGGGGCCGCCACCGUUCCUCAUCCUCAGCGGAUUAGCCUAGGCUCACUCUCAGCGUGGAGACGGGGUUCUGACCACCGGAACAGGCCCGAGGGCGCGUGGUCACGGACAUUACGGUUUCCGCGGCAUCCUCUUGGCUCCACCUCCUCCCAGUGGGUGGCUCCCACGCCCUCAGGGCCGCCUCCUUGCGGUCCUCCCGUGCCCUUAAUGCUACUGUCCUGACUUCUCCAGUGUUCUGUCUUUCCUGCUUGACUCUGAGCUCCAUGAAGACAGAAUCACUGUUUCCUUUAUCACGGUCUCACCAGCGCCUCACCCAGAGCCAGACUUAAAAUGGGGCUCAGUAUAGGUUUGCAAGCGAAUAAAUGAAUGAAUGCAUGAAUGAAUGAACGCAUGAUGAAUGAAUGAACGAACCCAUGAAUGAAUGCCUCCCACACUGUGGACACAGACAAUGGGCUGGGUGGGCCGAUGCUCAGGAACUUCCCUUCAUGCAUUGGUCCUUCCCUCUCCUGCAAAGGUCUGGGGGGGUCCUCUGCCUGAGCUGGAGCUCCAGCCGCGUCCUGUCUCUGUGCCCUUGGGCAAGGACCUCCACCCGCUCUGUGCCUUGGUACUUCAUCUGUAAUAUGCGGCUCUCAUGAGGAGUGGGGGGAAGUAACUUGGAUGAAACACGUGACACCCAGCCUGGGACAAAGGGAGCACCAAUCAUGUUAGUUAUCAUUAGCAUUAAGAAGGACUCGGAGCCUGGGCGUGUCCUCUUCCAGUCAGGAGUCUCCCGGGACUGACGUGAAAUAUUCACCCCAAAGGAAUUUGGGUCUCCUUUGGAGAUGCCCCUCCCACACACCCCAAAGAUUUCCCACCCUCAGCCAUUCACAACUGCCUCAGAUUUGGACUCUGCCAUCCACAGAGCAGGGGAAGGAAGGAGAAUUUAUUGUACCACCAAUGGGAUGACAGUUAUGAACGGCAGGAUCUCCCGCCACCACCCGUCACAGCCAUGGGGCGAACACUGGGGCGGCGGCUCAGGGACAGAGUCGUCCUCCCUGCAGGGCCCGCUCUGCCCUCAGCCCCAGCCUAGUGGAGUCAUCAAAUAAAUCCAACAUUUAGAAAAGGGGGGUGGGAUGGGGGACUUCAGCAGACAGUUCCCUGAAAUGUAAUGGUAAUAAAAGAG
This is a long non-coding RNA of Mustela erminea (ermine), 4649 nucleotides long. RefSeq lists it as uncharacterized. The transcript is spliced from 4 exons. NCBI's taxonomy places the organism in Eukaryota, Metazoa, Chordata, Mammalia, Carnivora, Mustelidae. The record is from RefSeq and is a predicted model, not a curated record.